AGGAGAUCCUGGUUCUAGUCCUAGCUGGGUCAUUACCUGUAUGACCAUCAGCAAACGAUUUCACUUAUUUGGGACUCAGUUUCUUCAUCUGUAAAAUGAGGCUGAAUUAGUAAAUCUUCAAAGUCUCUUCUAAUCUGAAAUCCUGUUGUUCCAAUUAAAAAUUUUUUUUUUCAGCUUAGAUGUUGCAUCAAAAAUUUGGUUCACUAUAUUGGAACAUCUAUGGUAUGAACUAUGGAAAGUCUUCCCCCAUCUUCGUAGUAUGAAGAGAACAUCUAUAUUGGCACCUGAGUGAUGGGCACUUUGGAUUUAGAAUAAAGGUGCGUGAGGGAGUGGCUUAGGAGUAUUC
This 346-nucleotide long non-coding RNA is filed under the name Phascolarctos cinereus (koala). RNAcentral describes it as "lncRNA (ENSPCIG00000036159.1)". Lineage: Eukaryota; Metazoa; Chordata; Mammalia; Diprotodontia; Phascolarctidae. The record is from RNAcentral.